This 841-nucleotide ribosomal RNA is filed under the name Cochranella granulosa. RNAcentral describes it as "partial 16S ribosomal RNA". It matches the Rfam family "Bacterial large subunit ribosomal RNA", at positions 1507 to 2578 of the family's 2925-position model. The record is from RNAcentral. Lineage: Eukaryota; Metazoa; Chordata; Amphibia; Anura; Centrolenidae.
GACCAAUUACAAUACUAUCUAAGAACCCUUAAACAAUAUUGAGUAAUUCUAUACUUAUAUAGAAAAUUUUAUGUUAAAACUAGUAACAAGAAGAAGAACUUCUCCUAUAAUGCAAGCGUAAAUCAGAUAGGACACCCCACUGAUAAUUARCACCAAUGAAAAYAAAGUAGYAACUUAACAAGAAAACCCUACUAAAMUAUAUGUUAACCUAACACYAGAGCAUUACAAGAAAGAUUAAAAAAAAGAGAAGGAACUCGGCAAAUAUUAACCUCGCCUGUUUACCAAAAACAUCGCCUCUUGCCCAAAUAUAAGAGGUCCAGCCUGCCCAGUGACUCUGUUCAACGGCCGCGGUAUCCUAACCGUGCGAAGGUAGCGUAAUCACUUGUUCUUUAAAUGAGGACUGGUAUGAAUGGCACCACGAAGGUUAUACUGUCUCCUCUUUUUAAUCAGUGAAACUAAUCUCCCCGUGAAGAAGCGGGGAUAAACAUAUAAGACGAGAAGACCCUAUGGAGCUUUAAACUAUGUAACACUUGCACCAACCCCAUGCAAAUUUCAGAAGAAUCCUUUUUACCUAUGCAAGAUUAUUACCAGUUUUAGGUUGGGGUGACCACGGAGCAAAAAACAACCUCCACAUUGAAAGGAGCCUACUCCUUAGCCAAGAACCACACCUCCACGCAUCAUUACAAUGACAUUAAUUGACCCAAUAUAUUGAUCAACGAACCAAGUUACCCUAGGGAUAACAGCGCAAUCCACUUCAAGAGCUCCUAUCGACAAGUGGGUUUACGACCUCGAUGUUGGAUCAGGGUAUCCCAGUGGUGCAGCCGCUACUAAAGGUUCGUUU